UACAGAGGUCUCAAGCGUUGUUCGGAUUCAUUGGGCGUAAAGGGUGCGUAGGUGGCGCCGUAAGUCAGGUGUGAAAUUUCGGAGCUUAACUCCGAAACUGCAUUUGAUACUGCGGUGCUUGAGGACUGGAGAGGAGACUGGAAUUUACGGUGUAGCAGUGAAAUGCGUAGAGAUCGUAAGGAAGACCAGUGGCGAAGGCGGGUCUCUGGGUCGUACCUGACGCUGAGGCGCGAAAGCGUGGGGAGCGAACGGG
This 253-nucleotide ribosomal RNA is filed under the name uncultured bacterium. RNAcentral describes it as "partial 16S ribosomal RNA". It matches the Rfam family "Bacterial small subunit ribosomal RNA", at positions 524 to 776 of the family's 1533-position model. The record is from RNAcentral.